This 301-nucleotide ribosomal RNA is filed under the name uncultured bacterium. RNAcentral's name for it is "partial 16S ribosomal RNA". It matches the Rfam family "Bacterial small subunit ribosomal RNA", at positions 509 to 807 of the family's 1533-position model. The record is from RNAcentral.
CAGUAGCCACGGGAAUACGGAGGGGGCUAGCGUUGUUCGGAAUUACUGGGCGUAAAGCGCACGUAGGCGGCUUGGUAAGUUAGAGGUGAAAGCCCGGAGCUCAACUCCGGAAUUGCCUUUAAGACUGCCGAGCUAGUAGGUGAGAGAGGUAAGUGGAAUUCCGAGUGUAGAGGUGAGGUUCGUAGAUAUUCGGAAGAACACCAGUGGCGAAGGCGGCUUACUGGCUCAUUCUAGACGCUGAGGUGCGAAAGCGUGGGGAGCAAACAGGAUCAGAUACCCCGGUAGUCCCUGUCUCUUAUAC